CAAAUCCAAUCCAAUAACCCUAAAAUCGAAACCCAGCCGCCGCCUCCUGUUUCUAUAUUACACUGAUGAAACGAAAACACAAUCCAAGUUCAGGCAGUCUCUCUCUCCUGCCAAUCCACGGCCGCAGCUUCCAACCACCAGGGCUUGUUGCCAAUUCUAUUCUACCCUAUUAACCGCGUCAGUGACCAUUCUACUUCAAUCUCUUUUAUCGGCCUCCAGUUUCUCUUUAUCUUUUAUUUGUUAUACGAAUUGCUCCAUCUCCCUUUUCAGUGGAGGUCUUAGGUGAUGGCCAUGGUCGCAGCUGCUAAAAUGAUGAUUGGGAUAUUGUGCAAGGGCUUUGAGUUCCAUUUUAAUGGAAUUGAUGAAAUAAUUCAUAUUAUACCCUCUGAUUACCAGCAGCCAGCAGUUUGAUGGGUCUUUACAGUGUAUCCAAUUACCUAUACUAACUUGGCUCUUGUGCCACUUCUUUGAUCUAUAAUCCUAUACAUGCUCUUAUUAAUUCCUGGAAUUUGCGUCUUAGGAUUGAAGAUGACCCAUUUGCCAGAUUAACAUUCUUAUAACUAUAAGAAACUAAAACAAUUAACUCGUGGAGUGAAAAACUUAGGUCUUAUUGUUCAACUAUCUAUUUAGAUUUGUUAAAAGAAAGAGUUUUUCUUUGGUUAUCUUCCUCAGAAACAAGAGUUUAUGCUCGAUGCCCAUCUAAUGAAUGCAUCUUUGUGAAGAUUGUGGCGCUGCUUGUGUCAAUUUCCGCCUGCUGGACUGGGCUCUUGCAAACCAGCUUAUUUUGGAUUGGGCAUAUUGGGAAGAUUAUUCUUUUGCUUUCAAUUUAAUAAACCUCAAUUCUUUUUUCAUGUUUUUUUUAUUGGGUUCAUUUAUUUUGUAUUUGAUAAUAGUAGAAAUGCAAAAUGAAAUAAAUAUUAAAAAGAUGAAAAUAUAAUAUAAGAGAACAAUUCAUCGUGGGUUCA
This is a long non-coding RNA of Populus euphratica (Euphrates poplar), 965 nucleotides long. RefSeq lists it as uncharacterized. NCBI's taxonomy places the organism in Eukaryota, Viridiplantae, Streptophyta, Magnoliopsida, Malpighiales, Salicaceae. The transcript is spliced from 2 exons. The record is from RefSeq and is a predicted model, not a curated record.